GGAUCGCCCUUCCUACGGGAGGCAGCAGUGGGGAAUUUUGGACAAUGGGCGAAAGCCUGAUACAGCAAUGCCGCGUGCAGGAAGAAGGCCUUCGGGUUGUAAACUGCUUUUGUACGGAACGAAAAGGUCUGCCCUAAUACGGCGGGCCCAUGACGGUACCGUAAGAAUAAGCACCGGCUAACUACGUGCCAGCAGCCGCGGUAAUAAGGGCGAUCCC
RNAcentral lists this ribosomal RNA (217 nucleotides) under uncultured bacterium. Its description in RNAcentral is "partial 16S ribosomal RNA". It matches the Rfam family "Bacterial small subunit ribosomal RNA", at positions 327 to 535 of the family's 1533-position model. The record is from RNAcentral.